RNAcentral lists this ribosomal RNA (253 nucleotides) under uncultured bacterium. RNAcentral's name for it is "partial 16S ribosomal RNA". It matches the Rfam family "Bacterial small subunit ribosomal RNA", at positions 524 to 776 of the family's 1533-position model. The record is from RNAcentral.
UACGGAGGGUGCAAGCGUUAUCCGGAUUCACUGGGUUUAAAGGGUGCGUAGGCGGGCAGGUAAGUCAGUGGUGAAAUCCUUGAGCUUAACUCGAGAACUGCCAUUGAUACUAUCUGUCUUGAAUAUUGUGGAGGUAAGCGGAAUAUGUCAUGUAGCGGUGAAAUGCUUAGAUAUGACAUAGAACACCUAUUGCGAAGGCAGCUUACUAUGCAUAUAUUGACGCUGAGGCACGAAAGCGUGGGGAUCAAACAGG